UGUUUCGGCAAGGGGGUCAUCCCGACUUACCAACCCGAUGCAAACUGCGAAUACCGGAGAAUGUUAUCACGGGAGACACACGGCGGGUGCUAACGUCCGUCGUGAAGAGGGAAACAACCCAGACCGCCAGCUAAGGUCCCAAAGUCAUGGUUAAGUGGGAAACGAUGUGGGAAGGCCCAGACAGCCAGGAUGUUGGCUUAGAAGCAGCCAUCAUUUAAAGAAAGCGUAAUAGCUCACUGGUCGAGUCGGCCUGCGCGGAAGAUGUAACGGGGCUAAACCAUGCACCGAAGCUGCGGCAGCGACGCUGAUGCGUUGUUGGGUAGGGGAGCGUUCUGUAAGCCUGUGAAGGUGUGCUGUGAGGCAUGCUGGAGGUAUCAGAAGUGCGAAUGCUGACAUAAGUAACGAUAAAGCGGGUGAAAAGCCCGCUCGCCGGAAGACCAAGGGUUCCUGUCCAACGUUAAUCGGGGCAGGGUGAGUCGACCCCUAAGGCGAGGCCGAAAGGCGUAGUCGAUGGGAAACAGGUUAAUAUUCCUGUACUUGGUGUUACUGCGAAGGGGGGACGGAGAAGGCUAUGUUGGCCGGGCGACGGUUGUCCCGGUUUAAGCGUGUAGGCUGGUUUUCCAGGCAAAUCCGGAAAAUCAAGGCUGAGGCGUGAUGACGAGGCACUACGGUGCUGAAGCAACAAAUGCCCUGCUUCCAGGAAAAGCCUCUAAGCAUCAGGUAACAUCAAAUCGUACCCCAAACCGACACAGGUGGUCAGGUAGAGAAUACCAAGGCGCUUGAGAGAACUCGGGUGAAGGAACUAGGCAAAAUGGUGCCGUAACUUCGGGAGAAGGCACGCUGAUAUGUAGGUGAAGUCCCUCGCGGAUGGAGCUGAAAUCAGUCGAAGAUACCAGCUGGCUGCAACUGUUUAUUAAAAACACAGCACUGUGCAAACACGAAAGUGGACGUAUACGGUGUGACGCCUGCCCGGUGCCGGAAGGUUAAUUGAUGGGGUCAGCGCAAGCGAAGCUCUUGAUCGAAGCCCCGGUAAACGGCGGCCGUAACUAUAACGGUCCUAAGGUAGCGAAAUUCCUUGUCGGGUAAGUUCCGACCUGCACGAAUGGCGUAAUGAUGGCCAGGCUGUCUCCACCCGAGACUCAGUGAAAUUGAACUCGCUGUGAAGAUGCAGUGUACCCGCGGCAAGACGGAAAGACCCCGUGAACCUUUACUAUAGCUUGACACUGAACAUUGAGCCUUGAUGUGUAGGAUAGGUGGGAGGCUUUGAAGUGUGGACGCCAGUCUGCAUGGAGCCGGCCUUGAAAUACCACCCUUUAAUGUUUGAUGUUCUAACGUUGACCCGUGAUCCGGGUUGCGGACAGUGUCUGGUGGGUAGUUUGACUGGGGCGGUCUCCUCCUAAAGAGUAACGGAGGAGCACGAAGGUUGGCUAAUCCUGGUCGGACAUCAGGAGGUUAGUGCAAUGGCAUAAGCCAGCUUGACUGCGAGCGUGACGGCGCGAGCAGGUGCGAAAGCAGGUCAUAGUGAUCCGGUGGUUCUGAAUGGAAGGGCCAUCGCUCAACGGAUAAAAGGUACUCCGGGGAUAACAGGCUGAUACCGCCCAAGAGUUCAUAUCGACGGCGGUGUUUGGCACCUCGAUGUCGGCUCAUCACAUCCUGGGGCUGAAGUAGGUCCCAAGGGUAUGGCUGUUCGCCAUUUAAAGUGGUACGCGAGCUGGGUUUAGAACGUCGUGAGACAGUUCGGUCCCUAU
RNAcentral lists this ribosomal RNA (1748 nucleotides) under Escherichia coli. Its description in RNAcentral is "partial 23S ribosomal RNA". It matches the Rfam family "Bacterial large subunit ribosomal RNA", at positions 911 to 2641 of the family's 2925-position model. The record is from RNAcentral. Lineage: Bacteria; Pseudomonadati; Pseudomonadota; Gammaproteobacteria; Enterobacterales; Enterobacteriaceae.